GGCUAACUAUGGUCUAUUAGCAGGGGUACUGCAGAGGUGUCGAGUGAUUAUCGAGUGUGUGAGGCGUCACGCGCUGGUAGGUGGGUGAUGAAGUCAAAUUUGAGAGCUCGGAUGUUAACGUGGGAAGUACAUUAGAUACUGGUGGGCUAGAGUAUGGGAGAGGAUGGGAGAAUUCCAGGUGGAGCGGUGAAAUGCGUAGAGAUCGGGAGGAAGACCGAUGGCGAAGGCAGCCAUCUGGCCUAAUACUUACACGGAGGUGCGAAAGCAUGGGGAGCAAACAGGAUUAGAACCCGAGUAGUC
RNAcentral lists this ribosomal RNA (300 nucleotides) under uncultured Streptomyces sp. Its description in RNAcentral is "bacterial SSU rRNA". It matches the Rfam family "Bacterial small subunit ribosomal RNA", at positions 495 to 795 of the family's 1533-position model. The record is from RNAcentral. Lineage: Bacteria; Bacillati; Actinomycetota; Actinomycetes; Kitasatosporales; Streptomycetaceae.